Molecule: ribosomal RNA, 276 nt
Filed under: uncultured Lactobacillus sp.
Lineage: Bacteria; Bacillati; Bacillota; Bacilli; Lactobacillales; Lactobacillaceae
Description: partial 16S ribosomal RNA
Rfam family: Bacterial small subunit ribosomal RNA
Source: RNAcentral
UACCAAGGCGAUGAUGCAUAGCCGAGUUGAGAGACUGAUCGGGCCACAUUGGGACUGAGACACGGGCCCAAACUCCUACGGGAGGCAGCAGUAGGGGAAUCUUCCACAAUGGACGCAAAGUCCGAUGGAGCAAACGCCGCGUGAGUGAAGAAGGGUUUCGGCUCGUAAAAAGCUCUGUUGUUGGUGAAGAAGGACAGGGGUAGUAACUGACCCUUUGUUUGACGGUAAUCAAUUAGAAAGUCACGGGCUAACUACGUGCCAGCAGCCGCGGUAAAU